Molecule: ribosomal RNA, 460 nt
Filed under: uncultured bacterium
Lineage: Bacteria
Description: partial 16S ribosomal RNA
Rfam family: Bacterial small subunit ribosomal RNA
Source: RNAcentral
CCUACGGGAGGCUGCAGUGAGGAAUAUUGGUCAAUGGACGAGAGUCUGAACCAGCCAAGUAGCGUGAAGGAUGACUGCCCUAUGGGUUGUAAACUUCUUUUAUAAAGGAAUAAAACGAGGCACGUGUGCCUGUUUGCAUGUACUUUAUGAAUAAGGAUCGGCUAACUCCGUGCCAGCAGCCGCGGUAAUACGGAGGAUCCGAGCGUUAUCCGGAUUUCUUGGGUUUAAAGGGAGCGUAGAUGGUUUGUUAAGUCAGUUGUGAAAGUUUGCGGCUCAACCGUAAAAUUGCAAUUGAUACUGGUAGUCUAGAGUACAGUUGAGGUAGGCGGAAUUCGUGGUGUAGCGGUGAAAUGCUUAGAGAUCACGAAGAACCCCGAUUGCGAAGGCAGCUUACUAAACUGUGACUGACAUUGAUGCACGAAAGUGUGGGUAUCAAACAGGAUUAGAUACCCUAGUAGUC